Long non-coding RNA from Populus nigra (black poplar), 994 nucleotides. RefSeq lists it as uncharacterized. Lineage: Eukaryota; Viridiplantae; Streptophyta; Magnoliopsida; Malpighiales; Salicaceae. The transcript has 2 exons. The record is from RefSeq and is a predicted model, not a curated record.
CAAAACCUCAAUCAUUUCCACUAUAGAAUAAAGUUAUCUUUACUUGCAAGAUAUCCAAGCUAUUAUAUAAGAUACUCACCUAAUUACUCAUGACCUUCCGUUCCGGGGGACUCGGGUGCCACUGAUUUUAGGCUAUGGAACCCUCAUGGCAACUCUAUAAGGAUUCGAUAUUUUGGUCAAAGCUGACCAGUGAAUGGAUUAUAUUAUUUUAAUAAAAACUGUAAAUAUUUUAUCGCUCCCUUUCCGUCGUGGAUCUAUUUCUUUAUCAGAGAUGGUGUCAGGUCCGUCCGGCUAUGUUGAAAAUUUGUUUUUCCAGCAUUUUUCUUUGCUCUAGAGGAUUAGGUAAAGGCGUAAACUAAUUGUUGCUUCCACAGAGAAGAGACGUUGUCUUAAGCUAUAAUACAUAAUUAUGCAUUGAAUUACGCGAUGGACUUAUUCAACUCUUCUACUUCAUUUAUUAGAGUGAUGAGAUUGGGUAGGAGCUUGAAUUAGAAGUCAGUGCUACUCCACAGAGCAAUGGCUUCCUGUUCUCUGGGCCGAACGUCGAUUCAAUUACGAUUAUCAUCAGUCCUGGCCAUCUUCGUCUUGCAGUUGGUCUUUGUAAAUGCAGGGCAAAAUACAAGGAUGCUAGGAGGGAGACUCAAUGAUGUAAGCCCUCCUCCAAGUCCAAAACCAGGCAGAGUACGACACAUGAUACCUCCCGAGAUUCCACCAAGUACUCGGACGCCCCCGCCGUCGCCCCCGCCCUCUCAUUCGUAAUGAGUGUUAAACACACGAGCUCAUUUUAUACCAUUUGUACCACAGUCACGAUUUCUUGAUUUCGCUUUUUUGUUCUAUGGUUUUAUGAUGGAGCAUAUUUGAUGAGAAAAUGGAUGUUUUUGUUGGAAAUUCCAGUUAAACUUGGUAAUGAUGUUUUAAAAAAUUCAAGUUGUGUAUUAUUAAAGUUCCAGAUUUGAAUAAUUAGUUAAUUAAUUGAUCUUAAUAAUUUUAUUUA